Molecule: long non-coding RNA, 1208 nt
Filed under: Pan troglodytes (chimpanzee)
Lineage: Eukaryota; Metazoa; Chordata; Mammalia; Primates; Hominidae
Description: long non-coding RNA NONPTRT007851
Source: RNAcentral
CGGCGAGGGUGGGGAGAGAAAAAAGGAACGCAGCGGGGAGGGGGAAAAGCAGCUUGCAGGAUGGGAGUUUCUUGCAGAAUUUACAGGACUAAGGAGUUUGGGGAAGUCGCAGAGCCGCAGCGGAAAGGCAGGGGUCUGAGACUACUUUUGAGAAGAGAAACAACGCAAAACGAUCGCUGGAGGGCCAGAGCCCUGAUCGAAGAGAAGAAGCAGACACAGGUUCCCACGGCGUCUGACGCCUGCGGAGCAAGUCCAGAGCCAGCUGGACUCGCAGCCUCUGGCCCGGCGGCACCAACUCCAUACUGGGUCAUUUUGAGCGCGCUGUGCCCACCUUUUCUGUUGCGUGUGGACGUGGGGAGGAUCUUCUAAGUCCCUCCAACGAAGGCAAGUGUGAGACUCUGGCCCUUUAUUUGUAAGAAGCAAGCCUUCAGAUUGCAGAAGUGUCGCGCGGGUCGCCAUGCGUUGCGCGAGUGGGAAGAUGGAGGAGGCCGGCACGCUGCUUUCGUGGACGCAAGUGAACCGGCCGUGAAGGCAGGGUGCGAGCUCUGCCCUUGGCCCAGCCCUGCGUGGGCGCCGUCCCAGAUUCCGGGCGGUGCGGGGUGCAGAGAUCUGGAGAGAGUUGCGGGGUGCAGAGAUCUGGAGAGACUUGCGGGCUCCCCAGCGCAGGCUGCUCUGGGAUUUCGUUGGAAGAUCCGGCAGAGCCUUGGAGGAGAGGGCCCGGGAGGCUGUGUGUGCAGCGGAAACUUGUACGAAUGCCCCCACAGCGGAAAUGGUGCGCACGAGUAAUUUCUGCGGUGCACCCUUUUAAAAAUUGACAAGUGAACAAGAUCAAUUUUUUAAGAAAGCAAAGGUAGAAAACAAAAGGCGUGCGACUUCUUGACUGGCUUGUUCCCGCCUUUCUUCCUUCUCUAUACUCAGAUCAGAAACUUUAAUUGCUCUUAUUCAGUGCGACAACUUUUAAUAAAAGCAUUUGCAUUUUAAGCCUGAGUUGCAACCAUAGAUUUGUUGCGAAGUGACAACGUGUCUAUGGAAUAUUUUCGCAGAUGAGACAGGACAUGCGCUCUAGUCGUGCCCAGAUUAAAGGGACGCUGGUCCAUGUGCCUGUGUAGUGCAGACUCGGAGGGGCACACACAUACUCGUCAUCACAUGACCACUGUCUAUUAAUAUUGUCAUACCUAAACACUCGCAAAAACAAAAGUUGCUUUUCU